RNAcentral lists this long non-coding RNA (1217 nucleotides) under Cyanistes caeruleus (blue tit). Its description in RNAcentral is "lncRNA (ENSCCEG00000010548.1)". The record is from RNAcentral. Lineage: Eukaryota; Metazoa; Chordata; Aves; Passeriformes; Paridae.
CAAAUGCUCCUACAAAAGACUGCAAUUUAGUAUUUAAAUUUCCAAUGGAGCUUAAAUACUACUGGUUUGAGAACAAAAAACAAACAAAAAAACACCCUGUGGUUAUUGCUUCUAUGUCCAGAGACUGAUUUUAUUGGAACUUCAGAUACCCUAUACACCUCUAUGGUUAUUUAGGAAUUUACCAUCUGUUUCAGCUGUGACUCUUUUGUCGUAUUUCUGGACUGUAUAGGUUGUGCUCUGCAACCUUUGUGCUAGACUGAAAAGUGCAGUAGUAACUGAAUAAUAAACUAGAAAUAAAAAUGUUCACAAAACUGUUACAAUGAUGACUCUUGGGUUUGUUUCUUAAAUCUUCAGUUCUGAGAUUGGGUAAAUUGACAGCAGCAGACAUAUAUAUAGUAAGUGAUACUCUUCCUGUAGUAAGUGAAAACUUUUGCACCUACUAUUUUUGAUUUGCAUCUGUUAUAGCUCUGAUUUGAUCUCUGAGAGUGUGUAUAUAUAUAUAUAUCAAUGAUCCAUAGGCAUUUCCCUUCUGAGUCAUUUUCCUUGAGUGUCUGCGCUGGUGGUAUCACAGGCCAUCUCCAUGGAAACAACUAUGAUACUACAAUGAGUGACUUGUGACAUCACUAAGUGAAUCCACCAAGAGAAGGAGUGUUUGUGAACAGAAAGGAAACUUCUAUAAAAAACAAUUUAGUAAAUUAAAGCAAGAAAUGCAUAAUAAUGGCUAGUAGUAGAUCUAUGUAAUAGUGUUAUAGGGCUCUUUUUCUAUCAAGAGAGUGAAAUUUUUUAAAGUUUGUUGGAAUAUGAUAGCAGCUCUUUACAUUAAAACACUGUCAAUCUCUUCCAGCUGACAGUGUGAGCAUAUUUAAAUUGCUUUACAGCUACAGUACCAUAUGUUGCAGUGAGUAUGAAGAUGCAAAAUUCUCCAUAGUAAAUAUUCUCUACCUUAAGUUUGGUAUUGCAUGCAUGUAAAAUCUCCAUCUUCCUGUGGUACAAGCUGUAAGCUCACUGUACUGGAGAAGUCAUUUCACACGUGUCUCAGGUGUAGGGAUGGUCAAGAGCACUCAGAAAGGUGCCUCUUCCUUCCUGCUUUGCAGAAGAUCCCAUAUACCAAUUCUUGCUUCCCAUCUCAGAGAAUGAAUUAUAACUACAAAGGCAGUACCAUUUGGAAAGGGAAAGAGGAGUUAAAUCUACAAAUGAGCACAGGACUGCUUAAGUAG